GGUUGAUGGCACCACCAGAUGUAGAGAGACUGUCCUAUGGGUAAGAGGCAGGGGAUGACCACAUUAAUGGGUUCCUCCCAGAACACUAUCACAGAUGGAAGGAGUCAAAAGUUGGGAAAACUAUGGCCACAGGGAGAAUGGAGCAAUCCUACUAGGAAAGAGAAUAGGCUAUUAUCACUAACUGUGUGCAGACGAUGGGGUUUUUAAAGGUAGAGAGAGAUUCACACAAGACAUCAGAGAAAGGAAGGACUUUGGGGAGAAAAAUGCAAAUUUGAAGGCAAAAGAAGCAAAUUAGGAGCAGUGGGGAAAUCCAAAGAGUAUCACCAUGUGAAUAUCUUAAGUGGUUAGAUCUCUUCCCCUUGGUGCUUUAAAAAGCCAUUUUUACUUUAAGAGUUCCUCUCCUAGUGUGCAACUCUCUUCAGUUAACCCCCAAGUGAAGGAAGCCAUAUAACCACACCAUAUGUACAGCAGUGCUCAGGAGCCUGAUGGUCCAGGGUAGUAAAGGAGAAGGAUGAUCUAACCCACCUGCUGAUUCACUAACACCUGCAGAAGAAGAGAAGCAUCCAGUGGGAGGAACCACAUGCCCAGAAUUGCUAGGUGUGAGCAGCUGUAAGGUGAGUACUCUUGAGUAUUGCAGGAAAGAAUAUAUGGUUUUGUCAAGUUCAUUUCAAGUAGGCCAAGUUGAAAGACUUCGUAAAUCCUAGUUUCUGGCACAAAGGAAGUAUCUAAAAAUUUUAGUCAUCCUUGUCAUUUUUAUUAUCUUAAAACAAACAAACAAAUCUGCAUUCCUGCUCCUUUGGAGGUAGGGGUCCCAAAAUGGCAUCUCAGAAGCUACAACUGGUCCACAGAUGUGUUUUGUUUGAAAAUGUAUGGUUAGCCUGCCUCGUUUCCCAGACCAAACCACUUCCUGUUGCUUUACAUCUCACUAGUUCCCUUUUGCAGAUUAGCUGAUGACCUUUGUAGGCAAUUGAGUUUUGGCGUCUAUUAAACUCAACCCUGUGGAAGGGGAAGGGGGGGUUACAUAGAGACAGGAUUCUGCUAUUUUUUAAAAGAGGACAGGUAGUAGAUGACUUGAGGAAAGGGACUGGUCCAAAGGAAGAGUGGUCUGUGAGUGGAUAGUUCUGGAUUCAUGUUAAAGUAGGUUGGUAGAAGUAAGAGAGAAGAGCAGGGUAAGAACUGGGUUUGGGAACUGAGGUUGUGGCUUAGUGGUAGAGCACUUGCCUAGCACGUGUGAGGCACUGGGUUUGAUCCUCAGCACCACAUAAAAAUAAAUAAAAUAAAGUUUAAAAAAAAACAACGCAGUUAUUAAAAAACAAACAAACAAACAAACAAAAAAAAACCCUGGGCUUGGGAAUUCCAGCUUUAGAUAUUUACUGCCUGUGUGACCUUAGGUAAAUACCAUACCUUCUCUAAAUCUAAUUUUCUUCAUAUGCAAAAAUGAAAUUAUUAGCCUCUGUAAUUAUAAUAGGCAAAAUAAAAUGGGUUACACAUGAAAAGUUAUAGCUUCCCAUUGUUUCCUUAUUAAUUUGGGGGGGAAAGGGGGGUACUCAGGAUUGAACUCAGAGGUACUCAACCACUGAGCCACAUCUCCAGCCCUUUUAUGUAUUUUAUUUAGAAACAGGGCCUCCCUGAGUUUCUUAGUGCCUCACUCUUGCUGAGGCUGGCUUUGAACUCACUAUCCUCCUGUCUCAGCCUCCCAAGCCACUGGGAUAACAAGCGUUUGUCACUGUGCCCAGCUUCUUACUAAUUUUGAGUUAAAAGAAUCACUACAUUGAUCACUACAUUGUUAAACAAUAUUUUAAAAAAUAGAGGUAUGAGUUUAUUAACAUAAUGCAUUUGAAAAACAAUUGAAAAUCUUGCUUUUUAAAGAUAAUGAUGAUAAACUAAACAAGUAAUAUUAAUGUGUUUUUUUUCAUUAUUGUCUGUCUCCUCUAGGGACAGAAACUUGGUGUAGAUUGCUCACAUCGGGGCAUAAUAGAUGCUCAAUAAGUCUUUGUACAGCGAAUGCUUGUAUGAAUGAAGUUCAUUUUUUUCAAAAUAAAAUUAUUCAGUCCCUGCAGAUGUCACAACCCACUUGAAUCUGUCCUGUGAUCAUAAAGUCUUGCAUUUUAAUAACUCUUGAAAACAAUAAUGGUGUUUUCAAUUGGUGAUUAUGACAAAUCUAUGAAAUAGAUUUGAACACUACUAUUAACAUAUUUUGACUGCUGAAAAAAUAAAGGAUCAGAGAAUGUCAUAAAAAUAACUAUAUGAAUUCCCUUAAAAUUAUCAUAUCUAAAUUUAUCUAUAGCCAUAGUAAAAUAUUCAGAACAUAUUGUCAUUUGAAUAGCCAGUACUAAUGAGUAUAUACUAUAACCCCACUAUAGUAGUCUGUUUUGUGUUGCUUUAACAAAAUACCUGAGGCUGGGUAACUAAUAGAAUAAACUUUACCUGGCCCACAAUUUUGGUGGCCAGAGGGUCCAACAGCAUGGCACUGGCAUCCUGAUGAUGAUCCCUGGCUGCUUCGCAACAUGACAGAGAAAUAGAAAGAGAGCCUACUGCGUGCACAAAGGACCAAAUGUGUGACCUCGCUUUAUAACAACCCACUCUUAUGAAAACUGACUCCAUGAGUAAAUCCCUUUCAAGGCAGUACACUCCUGGCCUAAUCAGUUAAGGAACUUCUUAAAGAUUCCUCUACCUCACACUGCCAUACCGGAGACCUAGCUCCCAGGAAGCAUAUGAACUUUUGGAGGAUAUAUUCAAACCACAUCCAAACUUUAGCAAGCAUUUUCAUUAAAAAUUUAAAUAUAUAUUGUAUAUUUAUAAAUAAAAAUAGGUAACACAUAUAAAAUAUCUAAAAAAUAUUUUUAAAUCAAUCAAUUAAUCUAUCUAUACACCUGAGAGCUGGGAAGACUAUAUACCAAAAUAAUAACAAUGCUGACUGUUGCUCAAUGAUAAAAUUUCAUUGCUAUUAUUCAUUUUCAUUGCUAUCAUUUAAAUUUUUAAUGUAUCUAUAUUUCUAUUUUUUCAAAUGCACAUAUAUUGUGUUAUUUUAUAAUUAUGAGACUUGUUUAAAAGAUGAAGUUUUUUUUAAUUAGUGAAGAACUAUUUAAACAUAGAUUAAGAUCCAAAUUAGCUGUCACCAGGACAUUGAAAAAUGUAUGGUAUUAAACAAAUGCCUAUUCUUGGAGAAAAAAAAUUUUGAAAGAAGAGACCUCAUUUGAAAAGAAACUGAUAAAGAUAAAGGGUUAUAAAGAGAAGGAGAAUUAGGUAUAAUCUAGUAAUAUCACCAAGUGAUGAAAAUAUUUGAACAGCAUUUAUGAUAAUAAUUGCUACACUGUUUAAAAAUUAUUUACAGUUGUAAAUAUUUCUUCUUAAAUUUUUACCACUGAAAAGGAAACAGUCACAGAUGGUAAGUUAAUAAAUAAACACACUCAAAUUUAUAAGUUAAAAAUAAAGUUUUUAUGGAUUUCAGAUCCAAAUAUUUUAUAAAGAAAUUUAUUCUCCUGAUGUUCCCACAUCAUGUCUUCCAGUCAUCCAAGUUCUGUUAAAGAGAGGAAAAGUGAAUUAUCCUCAGAGAUGACUAAUUUUUUCUAGGAAAUCCCUCUAGAGAAUGUUAAGAAGGAAAUUGCUUAGCAUCAGAAUUUUAAGCUGCUAAAAGGUCACCAUCUGGCCAGGUACUGUUUUAUCUCUUUAUGUGGUAUACCAACAUCCACAAUAUGAAAAAUCUUAAAGCCCUUUAUAAUAAGCAUCCACACAAAAAGGACAAUGUGCAGCAUUAAUGAAUACACGUUAGUAGAACAGAGAUCAUUUUAUCUUUGAACUGUUUUGGAUUGUCUGAUGUACCCUGUCAUCCCUGAGGAUGCAAAGAAGCACAGUUGGGGUCCAAGAAAAGCUCUCAGACCCAGGGGGAGACCCCGCAGGCAGGUAAAAAGAGGGUCCUUGAGGUUUGUGGUUAUCUUCUGAGUAACAAGUGAGCAGAUGAGGCUCAGAGGGGAGAAUCAUCUGGAAACUGAUUUUAUAGGUGAGAUGGUAUUGGUUAUGGCCACAAGGGAAGAGCUGUCGCAGUCACAGAAUGAUAGAAGCCAUUGCCAGAGGGAGCAAAACUGGUUUUAAGCAGCAACUCCAAGAGUGAGGUAUAAUUGCAGCAACACUUCAUAAUAGCAAAUCUAAUCACACAAGUUAAGUAACUUUAUGAUCACAGUUACAUUCACGUGAAAGUAUGAGAUGGCAAUUCCAAAGGUUUUAGUCUUUCCUAGCCUGGAUUUGGAUAAGUUUCUUCUUCUUUUCUAUAUUUUCUAAAAGCUACAAUAUUAUAUAUAUAUAUAUAUAUAUAUAUAUAUAUAUAUAUAUAUAUAUAUACACACACACACACACAAUCAGUGUAUACUCAAUGUAAAAAAAAUCAAAAUAAGUGAAAAUAAAAAAUGAAAUCCAUGAAAAUUUCAACUCUGAAGCAACUAUUAGCAUUUUCGGAGAUAAUAUUAAACAAUGUUCUCAUAGUAGAUAUUAUUUGAAUGUGAAAACAAAUGGAAUUAAACAUUUUAAAGGGUUAAAAAAAUGAUUUGUUAAUGUCAUUUGGUCAAUUCCAGAUUAGAUUUGAUUAAAAUCAUGUUCUUCUGAAUUACCAUCUAGUAUUAGUGUGCACAUAUUAGAGUAGUAUAAGUGGGUGGAAGAGAAAAUUUAGCUUUUGGUGAUAUAUUCUUAUUUCUUCUUAGACUCAUGAUUGGGAGAACUGUCCUUUAUAAACAAAUGGCUGAUGGGUAUGGAUAUGUUCAUUAAGGAUACCCAUUCCCCAAAUUUGACUUUAAAAUUGUAAUGGGAAAGGAAAGUAGAAGACAGAAAAAUAAUUUCACUGAUUUAAGCAUUUUUAAAUCAGUGAAAGUGAAAUGACUGAGGUGACUUAAUGCAUCAACCUUGUAGCCUCUGAAGAUGCUUGUGAAGCUGGUGCUUCCUGGAACUUCAAAAGAAAAUAAAACUGAAGGUGCAUGGGAAGAUUUGGGGAUGAGAGGGAAGAAAAGGCUGUUUGUGAAACCAGAGUCACAUAUUGAUGGGUUAGGUUUUGGGUUUUUUUUUUUUUCUGUUUGUUUGUUUGGUGGAGUGUGUUGGAUAUUUAUUUAUUUAUUUUUGUUGAGGGCCCUGGAGAACUAAAAAAAGAGGUAGCAUAACCUCUGUCCUCAGCUGGGUUUGAGCCCUUGAGAUGAAAACAGAUAAAAACAAACAAACAAAAAACCAGAAAGCCCAAAACUGAUGGAAAGUGAUUUCAUGCUGUUGGUGAGGUUCUGGGCAAAAUCUAAGGGUUUAGAAAUUAUUAAACCAAUCCUUCUUGAGCCUUGGGAUUCUGGCUUACAUAGAAUGCAGAAUGCUUCCUUUCCAAGUGGCAGAGUGUAGCCUGGAGCUAGAGAGGAGGCCACUUGCAGCAGCUUCCAGAUAGAAAGUGCCACUCCUCAGAUGCUCCCAUGACCCGGGAGACCAUGCCAGACACUGAGCUUGGCUUUCUCACUACAAGCACUGUCAAGACUGCCAGGGUGAGGCUUCUGCUUCUGCUUCUGCAACAGGUGGGAGACGAAAGAGGAAAGCAAGAAAAGGUAGGUGCUUGACAGUGAUCACAACACCCAUCCACACUGAGGACUUCCAGAAACAUUUGGGAUACUCUGAGAGGAGCAGGUUUCCUGCUGGGUCAGAUGAGAAGGGAGAGCAGGUGGCGAGACAAGAGCCCAGGCUGCUAGAUGAGCAGGAAAAGCAAGUGUGAUUUUGUUUUACAGCGAGAUUAGUAAGAUCUGCUUGAAUGAGCAACAUACAGAUGUGCUUGAAAUCCAUUGCUUUUGUGACCACUGACUUUUGGGGAUGUUCAUCCUAUAAAAUGUUUUCUCCCCUUCCAUUUAAAACCACUGUUUAUUCACCUUCAGCACUAUCAUUUUAGAUUGUUGUACAUGUUCGUAUCAAAUGGUUGUAUCAUGUUUGAUUUUAGGAUCUUAUUCUUGGACAUUUAGGCUGUCUGGGGAUGUGCUAUAUCAAUUAUGAUACAAUGAACAUUCUUCUUGGUAGAGAUUUGAGGGUGGCUGUUUCCUCUUAGAAUAAAUAAUCAGAAGGAGAAUUUCAAGGUCAAAGAACACAUGGUCUGGGGGGAUUUCAACAGCACUACAAAUUAUCUUCCAGAGGAUUCUUCCAAUUUAUACUCCCACUGGGAAGACAUAGGUGCUUGCUCAUGUCCUUUUAAUAAUGGGUAUUAUUAUGGUAUAUAUGUUAUGUUCAUAUAUAUGUUAUAUGUGCUGUAUUCACCUUUAUAUAGGUGACUUGCUUCUUUAUCCUAUAUUUGAUGAUUAUUAGUGAAGUUAGAUGCUGUCUUUUAUUUGUUGGUGAUAUUAUUUUCUAGUAUUAGAGAUUGAAUCCAGGGCCACUUACCACUGAGUUACAUACUUGGCCCGUUUUAAAAUUUUUAAUUUUGAGACAGGCUCUCAAGAAGUUACCCAGGCUGGCCUCAAACUUGCAAUCCUUCUGCCUUAGCUCCCUGAGAAGCUGGGAUUACUGGUGUGAACCAUAGCACCUGACUUCUAUUUAUUUUUACAAAUCACUUUUUAAAAAUUUGGCUGACUUUUAGGACAUGGAGGUCAAAAGCAAAUAUUAAGUCCUAAAUUAGGAAAGAAAACUCAACAUGAAUUUUGGUGUACUUUUAUAUGCUAAAAAAAAAGGAAAGAAGAAGAGAGAGAAAGAAAAAUGAUAGUACAAGUCCUGUCCUUCCAUCUCAAAAUUACCUUUCUUUAAACGUUUCUUUCUGAAACUUUGCCUUGCUGUGGGUAUGUGUGUAGCACUCUGUGUCAGUGUGUGCACACACUCCCUUACACAAUUGCCUGAGAUUUUAGUUAGGAAUGCCCACAACUGGCCUGCAGACCCCGUCGCUGUAGCCAAGUGCCCUAGAAAAAACACUCUGCUUGGUGACAGGGCUGUGUUGACACUUCAUAUUUUUCUGUCUUCAGUUUGCAGGUAUAAUAUGUUGGUCUUCAACUAUGGACUAUUGGUUUUCACAUAAACAUUAUAUAACUUAUCCCUAUCUACCCUGUCUACCUUCAUUGACUAGGAGGGUAGGCAGGGGUGAUUUAGGGUGACUUUUGCUGCUUUCUCCACAUAUCCCUAAUGGAAGGAAAGAGACUGGCACUAACUGAACAUUUAUCAUUUAUUCAUCACAAUUGCUCUUAGAGGUUGGUGCUUCUCAUCCAAACAUUUUAUGGUUGAGAGUUAUGAGGCUAGGGGAAAGUAUGUGAAUAAAUUCAUCCAAGCUUCCAGGGGCCGGAGCGGAAUGCCCUCAAACCAAGAGCACUUCUCAAAGCCAGUAACUCCUAAAUGUCAACCAUUCACAUGCCAGCUUCAGAUGCUUUGUUACUUAUGAGCACCACGUUAAUAAACAUUUCACAUCAAAUCAAUUCAUAUUUUAACUUAAAAUAUUUAUUUAAAAAAGAAAGUUUAUGUUAGUACCAUAAAUGGGAAUCCAGUAUUAAUAGUCAUAAACAGAAGGUGUUAUAAAUAUAUCCUUCAGCAAAAUGCUGGUUUUCCAGCUGUCCUGAGGCUGUUUCUACCAGCUUGUGAUUUUUAAAAGCCCCCCUCCCUCUUUUGUUUCUGGUCCUCAACCUCAAUUUCCCAUUCAGCCCCAAUCUUUCUAAGAACUGAAGGCUGUUUAUCAAGUAAUUUUGAGGCCAUAUGCCUCCACACUUGGCCCCUUGAGGAGCCCUUUUGCCCCACUUCCAAGAAUAUAAUAUUCACCCUUUUGCAUAGAUAAGCAUACACAUUUUGGGAAACUUCGAAUUAGGGCACUUCCCACCCCUCCCUUCUAAGAAAAAAUUACUAAACCCAAAUAUUGUUGAGGGAUCAAAAUACAAAUAGCUCAGUUCUGAUACAUGUAAAUUGCCCUAGUCACUGGAUAAUGACUUUGGAAAAAUACAAAGGGCUAAUGGAUCCUUUCUUGGCAGAUAGCAUUUCUCUUCUGGAGCUCUCCACAGUGACAUUUGUUUAUUUUUAGAGUCCUGUGGCUAGCACACUGGGCUGGGGCAUGAUUGAUCUAUUCAUUUCUUCUCUCUUUAAUGUUGAAAGUGAUUGCUACAGUUGAAAACAGUCAUGAACCAAACUAGCGGCCACCAACACAAGUGAUUCAGUGGUGACUUGGGCUUUUAUUGAGGAAUUUUUUUUUUUUUUUUUUGUAGCUGUGAUGAAUUUUAUUUGGAGCAUACUUUGUUAAAUGUUGGUUCUCUGACUGGAAACCUCCUUAGGUGAUGAUGCUUUAGUUGCUAAUUAUAUCUUGCUCCAUUCAGAUAUGAUCCCAAUUCUAAUACUAGUCCCUUUCCUUCCAUUAGUGGCAGGUGUCAUUCUUAAACACUCCUUAAGUGGCAUCCCCCUGGAACCUACUGUUCAUGACAGCCAAAUUUUCAAGUUUCUUGUUCUUUGCAAAGUGUCAUUUAUUUUUUCUUAUAAGGGCUUUUACUAGUGUUAAGAAUUCUUCUUUGCAAGUGAAAAUAGAAGCCAGAAGGAAAGAGAAUAAAACACUAAUUCUGAGAGGCUCAAAAUGUUGGGCUAGAGAUAAGAGGGGGAUGCUUCAGAAAACUGGAAAAGAGGGAAACAUUAAGUACGAAUUACAAGCUUGAGCUGAUGCCAACAUAUUGAUCACUGUAAACAAAUAGUCUAUUUUCCAUGUCUGAAGAUCCCUGGAUUUUUUUUUUUUACCUAGUUGGUUGCUUGUUGCAGAAUUUAAAAUCUUUGAAGAAAUCUUUUUUUUUUUUUUAAACCAGCUUGAGAGGUAAGUACAUGGGGAGUUGCUAAUGAGGAAAACAAGAUAUUUUAUGAUUCAGACAUGAGCCAAAAUUAAAUGUGAAUAAAUGCAGGAUAAGUGCCAUGGAAGUGAUGGGAUGAGUACACCUCUCAAAAAGCAGAGAAACUGUUGAGAAGUCAUUCAGUGGACAAUAUUUAAAUGGUAAAGAUACUUUAAUGUGUAAGCUUGUGCCACAGGUAUUACAUGAAGAGCUAUUUAUCAAUUUUAUGAGAAAAGCUGCAGCAAUUGAGACUGCUUUGAAAAUAACAGCUGAAAAACUUUAUGCUUUAAGAACUCAAAGUCCUAUUAGCAGAAGAGUUUUUGCUAUCUUAAAAAUAUAUAUUUUUUAUUUUUUUAUUUUUUUGCUUUUAAUUGUUGGUUCUCUGACUGAAAACCUCCUUAGGUGAUGAUGCUUUAGUUGCUAUUUUUACUUUUGCUUUGAGUUAUCCUUGUAAACACAUUUUUGUCACUUAAUAUUAGAUUAUAAAAGCACUCAUUGGCCUGGUUCAGUGGUGCAUGCCUGGAAUUCCAGCUACUCAAGAGGCUGAGGCAGGAAGAUCACAAGUUCGAAGCCAACCUGGGCAACUUAGUGACACUCUCUAGCAAAAUAAAAAAUAAAAAGGGCUGGAAUGUAGCUCAGUGAUAGCGCAUUCAAGAGUUCUAUCCCCAGUACUAAAAAAACAAACAAACAAAAAAACACUUCUUGGCUAAUAUUUCUAGGCAUUACUCUCUCUCCCAGUUUAAUCGGACAGGGAUUCUUUUGCUGGACUUUCUGAAUGCCUCUUCUAGAGACAGUUUUUACCUGUUUCUGUGCUUUUACUACAUUUCCAGGAUCUGGACUCAGAGACUAUUCCAAAGCCAAGAACAUGUUCUAUCUGAAAGAGCCCAAAUUGUCUUUGGUUUCUCUGGGUGCCAGUGGCAAUUUGUACCUCAGGAACCAUUCCUGAACUGUUAAUCAUAGAUCUUUUUUUUUUUUAAUUUUUAAAAAUCGAGAUGGGCACAAUACCUUUAUUUUUUAUUUAUUUAUUUUUAUGUGGUGCUGAGGAUCCAACCAGUGCCUCACAAAUGCAAGGCAAGUGCUCCACCACUGAGCUACAACCCUACCUCCUCACCAUAGGUCUCAAUGACAUCUCCUGUUUUUUACCCCAAGACAGGCGAAUCAUUUAAAAAUGUGUUAGAUCUUUUUACAAUUUGGGAUCAGUCUUACUGCUCAGCCCACUCUAUCUCUUAACUAACCUCCCUCCAUACACAUUGCACCUUCUUGGAGCUGCAACAGGAAAACCUAUAGGCUCCAUAGGUACUGUUCAGUUUCCUCCAUUGAGGAGCACAAUUCAUUCAAGUCUCUGAGUCUCUGCUCCCAAAUUCAGCUACAGGACCCCAGAGCUGCUUAUUAAGAGCCUCUCUGAUUCAGUAUAGACAAGAUUGUCUUCCUCUAGCCUGUCCAAGGUAGGGGUGUUUAAUUCUUUCACUUUCAGUAGAAAGGUUUUGUGAAUUCAGGGAAAAAAAAUUCACCAACUAUCAUGGUCAUCAUGCACAAAACUUGUUCAGUCCUGAAGAGAGCUACAUUAAAAAAUGCCGUCAACACAUGGGGAGCACUCAACCUGCAAACAAAAGCCAGUCCCAAAGUGCAAUUUGGUUGUUUGCAAUGCUAAAUGUGUUUGUAUUUAUACAAAGAAUUGUUGAGAACCUAUUAUGCAAAACACUUUUUCAAUCAAAAUGAUAGAAUGAAUAUUGUUCAGGUUGUAGGACUAGCUCAUUAAAGCCAUUUUGCCUACUGUUGAAUAAACCAUAACACAAGCUGUACAAGUCAUACCUUUGUGAAUUAUGAAUGGCAGGCAAUGUGAUAAGAGGGGAGAGAGAAGAAGCCUGUGUCCAAUCCCUAGUAUUUAAAAAAAAAAAAAAAGUUAUACCAUCAUGGGGGACUCAUUCUCAUGACCUCAUUUAAUACUAAAUAUCUCCCCCAAAGCCCCAUCUACAAAAACCAUUAGCAUGUGCAUUUGAGGAUUCAAUUUCCAACACGUCAACUUUUGGGGGACACAUACAAAAUACAGCAUCAAUAUUGUGAAAGAAAUGGAAGCCUUCUUUAUAAUCAGAUUUCUAUUACUGUUAAUGUGCUGAUUUCUGUAACUGCUAUUUACUAGCUGACCCAUGUGAAAAUUUACAUUUAUCCCCUUUUAGGGGAACUCUACCUAGAAAAUUAAGCAUUAAAAUUCGUUUCUAUAAAUUGUGAUUUCUAGACUAGAAAUACCCCUGAUGGUACUUUUUGUCUUAGUUUUUAAUGAUGACAAUGUACUAAAGCCUUCAAAGACCAGAGAAACUAGUUUUUCUUAGUUAUCUUUUGGGUAUAACUUCCUGAGGCAAGAAUUAAGUAUUUCACAAAGACAUGAUCUUUGCUUCUUAAUCUUCUUAAUGGAAGGCUAGGACCUUAUUAGUCUUUGUCGACUUCAAAUUAAUAACACAGAUGCCAAAAACAGAGACAUCAUUUCAACUCAAUUUCCAUUUUUAUUAUAUUUAAGUUGCUUUAUGUAUUUUUCAGAGGAAUUUUAAAGAUGAGAGCUCUAGUGAAAGAAAAAUAAGUAUAAUUAUUGAGUACAAUCCCUGGUAAUUAAAAGGAAUUUUAUGCUUCUUACUUAUUUUUAUUUUUUAUGAUGUACUUAUAAUGAAAUUAUAUGCAGUGAUAUCAGCACAUAAUAGAAUUGCUGAUUAGAUCACAAAGUUUGCUUUCAUAGUUUCUUCCUAUUAAGUAACCCAUUAAGCUAGGCCUAUUGCCUGGUCAGAUUAUGCCAUCAUUCAUUUACCUUUUAUGGCUCUUGUCACAUUAUAAAUCUCCUUCCCUUAUCCAACUGUGGGCUGCCUUAGGAACUUGCUAUCAUUUUCAACAGUAUAUUCUGUACCCCCUGCACCCCAUGCCCAUUACUAUAGUCCCUGGCACACGAUGGACCUCAUAAACUAUAAUAACCAUAUGUUUUAGUAAACAAAUUAUGUCAGUAGACACCCGAGAUAAGUUCACUGUGAUAGCUGAGCGACAGAUUUGGCAGUUUCUUGGCAAUUAAAGCUCAAGGGAAAAUAUACUGAGCUAUAUGAUUUUUGUUCUAACUAAAAAUAGCACGCACAUGAAGAGACAGUUUUCUUGAACUGAACUCAAAAGUGCUGAAUAAGAGAAAUGACCUUAUCUGCAGUUUUGCAGAAAAAAAAAAAACAAACGCUAUUUGAAGGAAUAUAUUUUACGGGCUCUCCCUAAAAGUUUAUAUAUAACUAAUGAGAAUUUUUUUGUGUGUGGUAGUAGGAAUGGAACCCAGGGUCCCUCACAUGAUUGGCAAGCACUAUAUCCACAGCCCUUGAUGAGGAUAUUUUUGCAGAUAAUAGAUUAUAUAACCCAAGUAUAUUGAUAACAAUUAAUACAGUGUAGUUUUGUGUUUAAUUGUUUAAGCUUUCUGUCAGAUAGAUCUGGAUUUUUAUACUAGGUGUACCAUUUCCAGGCUUUGUGAUAUGAGAAAUUUACUGAGACUUGGUUUUCUAAAUCUGUAAAGUGCUAUGCUGUUUCUUAGUCAUAGAUCUGUGUGAAUUAAGUGAGACAAUUUACAUUAUCCUCCAGGUAAUGAGUAAGUGCUCAAUAAUUGAUAGCUAACAAUAUUAAUUAAAACUAGGGUGAUCUAAAAAAAUUAUUGUGUAUUCAGUAGCCACCAACCAUAUGCGGAUACCUAAAAUUAAAGUUAAAUUGAAUAAAACUAGAUUUUCAGUUUUUUGGUCACACUAGCUACAUUUCAAGUGCUCACAGGUGGCUAGUGGCUAUCAUAUUAAACAGUGAGAUUACAGGACAUUUCCAUCAUUGCUGAAAGUUUUAUUGAACAUUAAUAUUCUAGUUUGAUUAAAAUUUCUGAUGCCAAUUUGGAUUGAUUCCUGGAAUCAUACAAAAUAUUAAGAUCCUUCUAAGGUGGUAGAGUUGAAGGAAGUAAUAUGUCCAACUAUCAAUGGAAAUCCAUACUUUCAUAAUUCCUCUUGCCUUGUCAAAUGCAAUUUUGACAAAUAAUAUCAUAUCAAAAGUAAUUUUAUUCUGACAGCUGAGAAUAGUCUCUGAUUCCAAAAAUAAUGCUACAUUUCCAGGUUUUCUACUAGGCACGAUUCAGGUUUUCUCAUUAAAUCUACACAAUAGUCCCAAGAGGGAGGUAUUAUUUUCAAAAUGUAUAUGAGAAAAGUAAAGUUCAGCAUGAUGAACUUACUUGUUUCCAAUAAUUUGGAUGGUAAAAGAUAGAAAUAGAAAUUUAAAACCUGUUCUAAUUCCAAAACCAUAUUCUGCAGCCUCUCUAUUAGAAAACACUAAUAGUGCUUCUUAUGUAUGAACCACUUUAGAUAUUUUGAGCUAGACUCACACUUACUACCUGUGUGAACUUCAGCAAACUAUUCAAUUUCCUCAUCUGUAAAAUGGAAAUUGAGGAGAUGCCUCAAAGUGUUUCUGUGAAUAUUAGGUGAGGCAUAUGUGAAAUAUUUGAAAUAGAGUAUAUUAUGUGAUAAGAGCUCAAUAAAUGUUUGCUAUUAUCUAACUCAGUGUUUUAAGAAGAGCUUUUAAUAGUUUUAAUUGAUUAUAACUUGGUAUAGAAACAUUUUUAAAAAAUUAUACCAAUUUGUUUUUCAAGAUAUGAUACAAAGAGAUUUUGACCAAGACGUCCCUCAUCUCAGUUUCCCAAAAGGUGGAAAAGUUUGGCUUCAACCAACCUUUUGAUUGACAUAUCAUGAAAGGGGAAGGAUCUUCAAAAAGUCUGAUAACAGUAGCAGAAAAAUCCUCAGAGCUCAGGAGUUUGCCCAGAGGCUGAGUAGAAUCUAUCCUAACACUAUCUUUGGAGAACACAAAAGAGGCAGAGAGGAGUGAGAACUGUGGAUGGAACAUUAUCAACUAAAAGACCCCGUGUGAGCUGCUAUCAACUGCAGAUCUUACUUAUUGGUCUUAUUUUUUCAGUUAUCAAUCUCAAAAUAUUCUAGAAGCUUGUUUCCUGCUAGUCCCUGUAAGGUGAGAAAUUCAUAAACACUGGGGGAAGUUGAUGUGUUUCUGGAGAAUAUGUUUCACACACUGGGGCAUAAAAAUGAAAAGUACUGAGGCUGAGCACCCCUUUAUCAUUUAGGGUGAGGACUCUGCAUUUUAUGUCUAGAAAAAAGAGUUAAAACAAACUGCCUGCUAGUGCCUGGUUGUAGCAGUAAUGGUCACACAUAAACAAUCACCACCACCAUCACCACCACCACCACCACUGACUGCUACCACCUUCACAGGCAAUAGCAAUAUCCCAGGCCUGAACAAUUUAACUAGAAAUGGGAAACAUUUCAAGUUACAAUAGCAGGAAAACAACCCCCCAAAACCCCCAAAACAUACCCAGUAAAAAAAAAAAAAAACAUCCAAGUCUCCUUCCCUUCUUAUAUAUUUUAUAGCAGUGACCUUCUAGAGUCAGUUACAUUGCCUAACUCUUAGAAUAGUUCUAUUGAAAUGAUGUGGGAGCAGGUUUCAGACCCAAGAACUGGAAUAUCCUCCCACCAUAGGCCAGUAGAGGAGAGAGAGAAUUUCAGAUAGUUGCAAUCUUCUGGCAAUGCUGAAGUAACAUUUCAUUUUGUGUAGGGCUAGUCCUCAUCCUAACACCUAUUCUGCAGAUUCAGGUGUCUCAGGAGGAAAGUAAGACCUCAAGAAAGAAAUCAAAAGCAUCACCCAAUGGUAGAGGAAUCACUUCUUAUUACACAGCCUCAUUUAAUUUAUUAUGAAGUCAGACAAGACUUAGGAACAAAAACAAAGAAAUGAUAUUUCUUUCUAACUACUUUUUCAGUUUUCUCCAAACCUAUUAUUUUAAAAAAUUAAUAGGAUUUCUACUUCUUUCUCUAUAAAUUGAUCUGCAUUUUGUUCAUUAAAUAAAGCAAUAAUGUAUUUCUGAAUUCUUUUUUUUUUCUUUACUGAAUUCUUGACAUGUCCUGGGCACUGUGUGAGAAACUUAGGAUAUCAUUUCAUCUUUCCAGCCCUUGAGCAGUACUGUUACUCUUAUGGUUUGGAUAUGAGGUAUCCUCCAAGAGCUCCUGUGUUAAUGCAGGAGUAUUCAGAGGUGCAAUGGUUAUGUUAUGGAGCUGCAAUCAUUCCAUCCUAGUUUUAAUGAACUAACUGGGUAGCAACUGUAAGCUAGGGGGUCACUGGGGACCCUAGAAAAGUUCAUCUUCCCUGCAGUCCCUUCCCCUUUCUCUCUCUGCCUCCUGGCUUCCAUGAGGUGAGCAGCUUCCCUCCACUGCACCCUAUAGUCAUGAUGUUCUGCCUUACCUUGGGCCCAGAGCAAUGGAGUUGGCUGUCCAUUGACUAAACCUUUCCUCCAUUAAGUUGUUCCUUGUCAGGUAUUUUGGUUACAGCGAUGCAGAGUUGACUAACACAGUUAGGAAAAGGCAGAGAUGGGAUUACAAAUCCAUAGCUCUCCACCUUUUAUCCAGGAAACCCUUCUGCCUGUGGUAUGUAACUCAUUAGGCAAAAGUGUAACCUCCACACUCACCCCAGUUGCCAUCCACACUGAGGUCCUAUACUACAAAGAAUAGAAAGUUUGCUUUCAGAGGUUUUGCCUUUGAACUUUGUGUCAGCAUGGGAAUUUCCCAUCAUUUUAAAUUCAAACAAGACUCUCACCACUUCUCUUUUCCCUCCUCCUCCUCCUCCUCCUUAUCCUACUCCUCCUGCUUCUCUCUCUCUCUCUCUCUCUCUCUCUCUAUAUAUAUAUAUAUAUAUAUAUAUAUAUGUAUAUAUCACACACACUUUGAUGUUGCUCUCCACCCAAAAUUCUUUGAGAGCAGCUGCCUCUGGACCAAUGCCUUCAAAAAAAUGAAGGAGGUAUUUCUCACAUUUUUUAUUGUCUCAGAUUUAUUCUUCCCUACAUCACAUUAAAGCCAGCUUAGUUGUCUCAGGCUUUACCUAAAAUCGCCGUUACUAAAAGGAAUCAUAGGAGUUAGGGAAAAUAAUUUUUUUUCUUAGCAGUACUGGGGAUUGAACCCAGAGGCACACUACCACAGAGCUCCAUCCCUAGCCCCAUUUAUACAUAUAUUCAUUUAUCUUGAGGUAGGAUCUCUCUAAGUUGGCAAGCUGGCCUUGAACUUGUGAUCCUUUUGCCUUAGCUUACUGGGUAGCUGGGAUUACAGGUGCAUAACAUUGUGGCCAUACGAGGGAAAGUAUUUUUAAACUCUAUGUUUUAUAAAACUAUUCUCAUAGACUAAACCAGAAAUUGCAUACUUUUUCCAUAAAGUGCCAUAUGCUAAAUAGGCUUUGUAGCCAUAUGGUCUUUUUUCCAGCAAUUUAACUCUGCCAUUGUUGAAUAGUGGGGAAAAUAACCUCAAAUGAUAUACAAACAAAUGUGUGUGGCUAUUUUGCAAAAAUACUUUAUAUACAAAAGAAGGCAUUAAAACUGGGCACAGUGGCACAUGCCCAUAAUCCCAGUAAUACAGGAGGCCGAGACAGGAGAAUUCCAAAUUCAAGGCCAUCCUCAGCAACUUAGUGAGACCCUGUCUCAAAAAUAAAUUAAAAAAAAAGGAAAAAUAAAAAGGUUUUGGGUGUAAUUCAGUAGUAGAGCACCCGUGGGCUCAAUCCACAGUAACAAUAAAAUAAAAUAAAAUAGGCAUUGGGCUGAAUUUGGCCUGUGGUCUACAUUGUGAUGAACCCUGGUCUAUCCCAGGACUGAAGACUAUCCAAUAGAAAUGUAAAGUAAGUCACAAAUGUAAUUUAAAAAAUUUUAGCAGCUAUUUUUUUAAAAAAAAAAAAAGGAAAAAGGAACCAAUGAAAUUAACUUUAACAAUAUGUUUUUAUUCCCAUAUAUCCAAAAUAUUAACAUUUCAAUGUAUGAUUUAUAUCAAAAAUUUCUAAUUAAAUAUCUUUAAUUCUUUGUGUUCUCUGAAAUCUAAGUGGAUUUUACACUUCUAGCACAUCUUAAUACAGACUAGCACAUUUCAAAAGUUCAAUAGUCCAUGUGGUUAGUGGCUACUAUAUUGGAUAGGACAGCUCUAGACUGCCCUAUUUCUACUUCCUCACCUUCUUCCCUUCUUCUAGGUCUACCCAUUUCCUUCCACUCACAAGGCCUAUUCCAGUAUCAUUAUUCCUUUCCUGCAUUUAGGCUAUUCAAGGGGAUUGCUCUGGAGCUGCUUAUCAUGGCCUUCAUCACUGCAAGAUCCAUAGAACAGUGUGGAAGUCUAUGGGAUGAGGUUGUAGGGUGUCCCAGGAGAAAGAGUUAGCAAUCCACUUUCUGAAAGGCAGGCAGAUAUGUGUGCAUACUGAUAAAUCCAGUAACUUUUGAGAUUUCCUACCAGAAGGAGUUUUAGAACCUCCUCUUUAUUUUUCCUUCAUUAUUUAGAGCAUGUCAAUUAGUUCUGGAGUUCCUCUUCUCUGUCUCUGUCUUUGCUUCUUUGUGUCUCUCAGAACAAACACACACACACACACACACAGGCAAAAUAUGUCUUCCAUGUAAAUGGGGUUAUAUAUUGACAAAAAACAUCAUACCUCAAAAAUGCAUGUAAUACAUCUAACCUACUGAACACCAUAGCUUAGCAACAAAGUAUGCUGUAGAAUAUCGGUUGUUUCACCUAGUGAUCACAUGGGUAAGCUGGGAACUGAGACUCCCUACUGCUGCCCAGCAUCCAGAGUGUAGUGCUUCAUACUGCUAGCCCAGGAAAAGAUCAAAAUUCAAAAUUCCUAGUAUGGUUUCCAUGGAAUACUCAGGCUUUUACACCAUCAUAAAGUUGAAAAAUUAUAAACCAUCAUAAGUCAGGGACCAUCUGUAUUAUUGUUAUACUGCCUGACCAAAAGAAUACUAGUUCUUGAAGACUAAACCAUCCAAUAAAUUUGUAAAGAGGAAGAGUAACAUUCCCCCCCAACUGCCCCUUAAUUUGUAAUGCUGCCUCACUCACUUUAGAAUCAAAGCUUUAUGAUGAAUUAUAGAGCAGUAUAAAUUCCUUUCCUUCAUCUUUUUACCUCCCAUUCUCCAGUUUCACCUGCCUGGGUUUGCUGAGAAGCAGACUCAUCACUGAGCCACAUACUUCUUAUGGCCAUACCCCUGGUUGCAUGAAGACACAUCUGGAAACUUGUGAAGGUCCAGCUGAAUUCUUAGGUCAUGGCUGUACAACUUGGAUGGGGCCAGACAGCUGCAACAGAGACCCCAACUACAGCGUCCUAAACAGUAGAGAGUUUGUGUCUCACCAUAUAACCAUCAUAAAGAAGGUAGCCUAGGUCUAAAAGGCAGCUUUGCUCUGUGAGACUAUUUAGGAACCUUUUCGUUAUGUUGUUUAUCACCCCAUGGGGCUUGUCUUCCUCUGCAUUGUUGAAGACUGCUAGCCACCAAACCAUUCUGUAUGAUAUAGCUGGAAAAACAGUGGGAACAUGGGAGCAGGCAUUUGAAAUGCUUUAAAAUUGAACCCUAGAAGCAGCACACAUAAUUUCUGCUCAUACUCUAUUGGCAAGAUUUAUGUGUCAGCUUUUAGUUACUGUGACAAAAUACUUGAGAAAAAAACAACUUAAAGGAGGAACAAUUUAUUUCUACUCAUGGUUUCAGAGAUUUCAGUCCAUAGUUGCUUGGUCCCAUUGCUGUGGGUUGUUGUGAGGCACAGCAUCAUGACAGGUAGCCUGAGUUAUGCCAUUCAAAGGUACUUUGAGUAGAACCCCUUGCUUUGACUAGAACCCCACCUCCUGAAAUUUCUAAACCUACUAAUAGUCCCUUAAGCUAUUAAUUCAUCAAUGGGUGAAUCCACUGGUGAGAUUAGAGCCCUUGUGAUCCAGUCACUUCCCCAAGGACACACCUCUGAGUGCUGCUGCAUUGAAAUCAAUCCUUCAACACAUGAACUUUUGAGGGACAUUUUAGAUCCAAAUUGUAAUAGCUUAGCAACACAUACAUCUCAAUAUGUGAAAGGCUAAGGAAUGUUGUCUAAGAAGACAAUCAUGUACCCAGGAAGGAGGAAGAGAAGAGUGAAUUUUGGUGGGUAAAUAAUAAACUCUGUCAAAGGGUAUUUUUCCCAGGCUGACUGGGCUGUGGUUGUAUGGGGAUCAUUCUUCCAAUUUCAAUUAUAUCAUCUUAUUUAGUAAUUUUAACAGUCCUAUAGAAUAAAUAUUAUUAUUUCCACUUCAUAGACAAGGAAAUUGAUAUCCUAGGUUAUUUUACUUUCAUAGAAUAGUACUUUUUUUAAUAGUACAGUCUUCCUUUUACUAUACUAUAUAUAAGGCAUAUAUAACAAUAUAUCCUCAACUAGAUUAUACAAUUGUAUCCCCAGCAUUACAAAAUUCAGCAUCUAAACAUAGCAAUUGCUUAGCAAAAUUUUGUCUAGUGAAUGAAUGCAUGAAUGACGAACGUGUAUUUAUGCACAGACAUUAGAUACUGAAUAUCAAACUCCAAAUCAGGAUACACAUGACCUUCUCCUGGGGUCCUAAUUUUAUAGGAUGACUCACAGAACUCAGGGAAGCAUUUGCUUACAUUCACAAGUUUAUUAGAUUAUUAAAGGAUAUAAUAAGAGAAAACAGAUGAAUAGCCAAAGACAUAUGUGAAGUAAGGUCUGGCAGAAGGGGAGCAGAACAUCUUUUUCCAGUCAGCCAUCUUGGGGGCCACUCCAGUGUGUUGUCAGUUUGGAAUCUCUCCAAUCCUAUAGUUCAGGGGUAUCUUUGGAGGCUUCCCCAUAUUGGCACCAACUCAACUGUAGCCCCUCUUCCUUCCUGGAGUAUGGGGCAGUAGACCUAAAGUUCCAAGUUUCUAAUCAUGGCUGGGACUUUCUUAGUGACCAAUUUCUAUUGAGAAACUCAUAGAGUGACAUCAUUAGAGCAAGAGACAGUCUUGUCACCCAGGAAAUUCUAAGGGAUUAGGAACUGUCAGGUACUAGGAUCAAAGACCAAAUAUCAGAACAAAAGAUUCUUCCAGCACCCCAAUUGCUAAGAAAAUUAUAGGGGGUCUUAGCAGCUGUGUGCUAGGAACUGGGGAAGAAAAACAAAAAUUAUAUAUUUCUUGGCAUAAAUCACAAUAUCAUAAGGGGUAUCAAAGAUGGCUACUAAUUUCUUAAAUAAUGCUGAGUCAUGGGAUUUUUGUUUAGUUAGGUCAUCAGUUUAGCAUUAACAAAAACACCAAACCAAUAAAAAAAUCUAAUUUCUUUUUUUUUGGGGGGGGAGAGGUACUGGGGAUUGAACUCAGGGGUAUUCGACCACUGAGCCACAUCCCCCACCCUAUUUUGUAUUUUAUUUAGAGAUAGGGUCUCACUGACUUGCUUAAUGCCUCACAAUUGCUGAAGCUGGCUUUGAACUUUUGAUCCUCCUGCCUCAGCCUCCUGAACCGCUGGGAUUACAGGCAUGCGCCACCAUAGCCGGCUAAAAAUCUAACUUCUUAAUGGUUCAGUAAAACCAGGUAGGGUCAGUCCUUAGACCCAGAAAAAAAAAGAAAGUAGCCAACACUGAAUUCGUAUGUGGUACGCAUUUUGUGUCCUUCCAAAAUGUUAUUAGGUAAAUAGCAUAUAAUUUUUACUUAUUCAGAAUGAGAUUCAGAAAGAUUAGAUUAUUCAUUCAGGUUUAGUCAGGUAGGAAGUGGAGUGCUGGCAGCUGGAAGUUUGCUGGGGCGCCACAGCCAAAGGGGCCCCAGCAAACUUCCAGCUGCCAGCAGUGGAGGACUAUGGGAUUUCAAUCUCUACCAGCUGGCUUCCAAAGCAUCUUCUUAUAAAAUGUAAAUAUUCAGAAAAAUAAUCUGAUUUUCCUGUUUAAAAGUACUGAAAUAGUAGUUUCAUCCCAAAUAAUAACUGUAUCAAAAUUCAUUUGUGAAAUAUCUCAUUUGAUCCUCUAGGUGGUACACAGGCAAGACUUGCUAAACUAGUUUAGCAGUGAGACUACUAGGAUAGGAAGAGUGGGUUGGUAACAUUGUUGCAGCCAUGUUCUAUCUUCUCCUGAAUCUUUUUUUUGAGGGGGGGCUAUUUCAUUGUUGCCUCUACUCAAAGAAUUAAUUUUAAUUAUUUUAUCUCAUUUAACCAUAAACCUCUGAGGCAUAGCUUCCCAGAUUAGUAUGAAAAUCACUGUUCUAAAAUCACAAGGAUUUGUCUGGAGCACAGGUUUAGUUCUGUACUAGCCAUGGGAAUGUGACCCUGGGGAUAAAAGAAACUGUACUUUAAAGGAGAUGAGGCAUAGGGAGCGCUACCAAACCUCCUCCAUGUCCCUGGUGUUAAGGACUUCCUCAACCAGUAAAACCUGCUUUAAUUUUCCCCUCUCAAUUGUUUAACUCUAGGUCAGACGGAGUAAGUGAUUGGGGAGUUUGGGGAAAAGAACUGGGCAGGCAAAGCCCAGUCUCUUUUUGGGUUCCUUUUUCUUCAGAACCAUUCUACAUUCUGCUUUACCAGGAUAGUGAUGGGCUUGUAUUAGUAAGAGAAGUCUUAGCAAGUCCAGCCCUCUGCACCUAUAAAGCCAUGUUCUCCAACCUGCCUUAUCUGUAAGAAAGGUGAUAAUUGGAUCUCUAUUUGUCUGCCUCCUGAUUGCUCUCUCAACGGGUUACAAACUCAGGGAAAAUGGACUUUAUGUACUGGUUACCUUGGAACUCAAGAAGAUAGUUUUUUGUUCACAUGUUGUUUGUUUUUAUUUUUUAACCUUCCUUGCUGAUAGAAGUGUCUUAAAUUAACUAUAAAGUUGAGUCUAAGUUACAAAUAAAUUUUGAUGUGUGAGUCGAGUGUUAACCUGUGGAUGUGAAAAACUUUUCUAUGCAAUUAUACACCUAAAUAGGUAUUACUUUCUCACAAAAAUCAGUUUUUGUUAUAGGUGGUUCUGACAAAAUUCGGUAUUUUGGACAUUUCAAAAUGCCCUAAGAGAAAUGGAAUGAUAAUUGUUAUGCUAAUAAGAUGUCACUAAAGUUGGAAAAAUGGAAGUAAAAUACUUUUAAAUUUCGAGUCAUCAAAGUGAUUAGCAGUAAAAUGUGUUAGUUGAAUUUUAGAUACAAGAAAGUCAUAAAAAUUUGUUCUUUGAACUCCUACUAUUUCUUCUCAACUAAUGAAGACCCAUUCCCCUUCCUCAUUUGCAUCCCAAACACUGCUGUCCUUUACUAUCCUCUUUCCAGGUCUUCCCUCCUGGCUCUUCCUGUGUUGUUAAUGAUAUAAAUGCUGGGCUCCUGGUCCUCAUAUUUGUCUCUUAAUUGAAACCUUUUCCAUGGGCAGCUUCAUCAACUAUGUGCUGAAGAUUUCUAGAUCUCUCCUUUACUCCCAAAUUAUUUACCUGAAUCACAUAUUUGGUUUCUAACUGCUAGAGACUUGGCUUCUAACUGCAAAUGCAACAUGUCCAGAAUUGAACUCAUUUUAUGCACUCUAUCUUCCAAAUUGGAAGAUUCAUAUCAAAAUCUGUUUUUCCAACUUUUCUUUAAAAAUUGGAAAAUCUGAUAAUAUUGACUCUGUGACUACAAUUGAGGUUGGAUCUGAGGAGUAGCUACCCCCUUAAAAAGAGGUCUAUGGGAUUGGGAAUGUGCCAUGUAGUAGAGCACUUGCCUAACAUGUGUAAGGCCUUAGGUGCAAUCCCUCACAUCCUGUUGUUCACAAUGUUUACCACUUCCCACUAUUGUACACAACUGGUUGAAUUCUCAGUAUGUUUCCAGUCUGGCCCUGUAGAUGCUAGGGUUUGUGAUCACCUAUCUAGGCCAUACUAGACCAUUUGUUGAAUUAAUAAAUGAAUCAAAACAAAAAUAAGUAGUAUCAUUCCUUUCUGUUAAGACUGAAAUUACUGGAUUUUACUGAAUCCACAAGUUACUAAAACUGAUUACAACUUUGUGUAAGUUACUAAGCCUUUCUGUACCCUCAGCUAAUUAUCUAUAAAUAAAGAUAUUACUAGUAACUACUUCACAGAGUUAUUGUGAGAGCUAAAAUGUAUAGGUGAGAGAACAGUGCCCAGCACGUAGUAAACUAUGGUGUUUGUGGCUUCAACUUCUACUGUUUUAGUUACUGUCUUAUGGAUUUUUUAAAAACAUACCUCCCCCAAAUAUUUCUAAAAGAGAUGAUUUCAUAAGAUUUAAAAACUUAAGAGUUAACCUGGCUCAUCCAGGUUAACUCUUAAGUUUUUAAGAAUACAUCUUUAAUUGUGUGAAAUUUUCAUUACUAAGAAGUGAAAAACCUAGUUAUUGAAAGAAAAAUGAAGACUGGCAUGGUGGCUCACACCUGUAAUCCCAGCUACUUGGGAGGCUAAGGCAAGAGGAUCAUAAGUUCAAGGCCAACCUAGGCAACUUAGACUCUCAGAAUAAAAGAUUAAAAGGCUUGGGGAUAGUUCAUUGGUUACUCUUAGUUUCAAUCCUUAGAACUGCUAAAUAAAUAGUGAUACUUCUAACAAAGGUGAGGUCUUGACACCUGAAAGUAUGAGGAUGAAUAAACCCCAAAUGGAUUGAUAGACACUUGAUACCAACUCCUUUCAUGAUGACUUGGCCAAAGUUUGUCUGUGUGAAAUUCGUGCCCAGGUAAAGGCAGGCAUCAUUAUUUGUGCAGUUCUGUUCUCCACAUGACCUUGAACAGCUAGAUCCAGUCUUCUUCCCUAUGGCUGGAGUUGUUGUUGUUGCUGUUGUUGUGUGUGUGUUUGUGUGUGGGGGUGCUGACCAGGAAUGCCUGAUCUAUUGUCACAAAAUAUGUUCUUAUUUCUCUUUCAACAUUUGUUUUCAGUGUCACUUCUGCACAGUCUUCUCUGAUGGCCUGACCCUUAUUUUAAGCAAUUACACUGAGUUAUAAUGCUUGUUUACAUGCUCAUUUCUCUUGAAAUGAAUUCCUUGAAUCCUAGGACUACAUCUUAUCCAUUUAAAUAGAAAGGAUGUAGUUGCAUGCAGAGGUUCUGAUGCUAAGAUCCCUGUAAUUCAGUCUGGCUCUGCCACUAACAGGCCGUGUGAACUUCAAUUUCCUCAUCUAUGUUAAAGAGAUAGUAAGAGAAUAUUUAUGCAAUGAUUUUUAUAUCAUUAUGAACUCAUGAAUAUUUGUUUACUUCUUUGGGUUAUAAUCCAACAUUAUUAUUAUUUUGUUGAUGAAAUUGCUCCAGCUCUUUCAGAUGGCUCCUGUGUCCUUUUGACAAGCUUCCAUCUCUCUCUCCUCUCGCCCUAAAUUUUUUAUUUCUAACACUAUAAAAUGUUCCAGACUCAUCUGGUAUUUUCCCUCCUUUAACUGGCAAAUUGUAUUUAGAAGACAAGAUUUAUGUGCUGUGUAUGCUUCUUGUUAUGAGUGUACCACUGCUUCUAGGCUUAGUGGACAGAACUAGGGAAUGGGUAUAGGUUUAUUAAGUUAUAUAUAGAUACAUAUCUCGAUCACUCCAACAAUCAUCUAUUUGUCUAUAAACAUAAAUUUGUACUAAUCUAGUACCACAGGGUACUCCUGUAUAUUUGUGACAUUUUCUAGGAUAGUGAAGGGCCUGGCUCCCGAUAUCUACAAUUGUUUACUUAUUUGCUUGACCCUAAUAUUAUGGGUUGAAUUAUGUCACCCUAAAACUCAUGUAUUGAAAUCCUAAUCCCCAGUACCUCAUAAUUUGACUUCAUUUGGAGAUAGAGUCUUUAUUUUGGAGAUAACCUAGUUAAAAUGAGAUAAUUAUAGUGGGCCCUAAUCCUACUGAUAUCCUUAUCAAAAAGAGGAAUUUUGACACAGACACACAUACAAAGGGAAAAGAUGACCAUCUACCAGCCAAAGAGGGAGGCCUGAUACAGAUCCUUCCCUCAUAGCCCCCUGAAGGGACCAAGUAGUUGUUCACAACUCGAUUUCAGAUUUCUCGCCUCUAGAUCUAUGAAAAAAAUGAAUCACAGUUGCUUAAGUCCCCAGUUUAGUAUUUUGUUAUAGUAGCCCUAGCAAACCAAUACAGAUGUCCUAGUAUACCUAUAAAGUUAAUUCAUAUUUUCUAAUGCUUACCUAAUGAGAUAUUUACCAACUAUAAUAGGAUGUUUACAUAUAGCUCUUUUUGCCUCUAUCCAAUGAACAUCCAAACUUUAUUUUCCAAAGUCGACUUCCUUUUCACUUACCCCUUCAAUAAAAUACACAUUUGUAAUAUACUUAAUUUGUCAGUCUAUUUCCAUCCUAUAAUUCUCCAAUAUCUGGUUGAUUUUUUAAAAUUCCAAAACAGCAAAUAGAUUUUGACAAACAUAUAAAGUUAUGUUCUCUACUACCUAUAGAAUAUGAAACAAUUUCAUUACUUUAAAAAGUCCCUUCUGCAACCCUUCUGGAGUCAGUUCUUCACCUCUCCCCCAACCUCUGCCAAUAGAAAGUUUUCUAUCCCUAGAGGUUUGCCUUUUCCAUGUAUUAUAUAAAUAAAAUCAUAAUACAUAGGCUGGCUUCUUUCACUUAGCAAAACUUAACUGAGAUUCACCCAUGUUGUUGAGUGAAUUAGUAUCUCAUUCCUUUUAAUUGUUGAUUAGUAUCCCAUGGUAUGGAUAUACCACUGCUUAUCAAUUUACCUGUAGAAAGACAUUUUCAUUUUUGAUUUUGGCAGUUAGGAAUAAAACUGCUGUCAACAUUCAUGUCCUGUUAUUAUUGUUUCGUAUUGUGUGUGUGUGUGUGUGUGUGUAUACAUCUUUUCAACUCACUUGGCUAGGAGUAAAAUUAUUGGUUCACAUGGUGAAUGUAUAUUCAACUUCAUAAGAAACUGCCAAACUGUCUUCUAAAGUGACUGGAUUAUUUUGCAUUCCCCCGUAAUGAAUUAGAGUUCCCAUUGUAUCACAUCUUUUCCAGCAUUUUGUACCAGUAAGCUUUUUUUCCCCAAAUUUGAGCAAUUCAUUUUAAAGAUUCAUCUGUGUAGUAUUAACCAUUUUACAUUCAGUGUUCUGAUACUUAAUACUAUAUGAUGUACAUCCACCACAUUUUACUAUCAAUUCUCCCAAUAAUGUGCACUCUAAUCAUCUUCAAAUUACACCAUAUAACUUGUUUUUGUAAUUCAUUAUGAUCUCAAAGAUGUUCAUUUUUUACCUUUUGGUACUGGUGAUUGAACCCAGGACUUUAUACAUGCUAAGUGCACAUUCUAAUACUGAGCUACACUCCAAGCCCCUAACCUUCUUUUUUAUUAACAAGUUGCUAAUUAGCCAUGAAAUUGGUGAGGCUUCCUGGAAUGAGAUGACAUUCCAGGCUAACAUCUCAAUUUUAUCUCAGAAAUUCUAUCACUAUAAAGGUUAUGGAAAGUUUAGUUCAUUUUAAUAUGCUAAUUAUCUUGCAUUGGGCAUAGCUUUAAUUAGAAUAUAACACUUUUUUUGAGGGGUGGGGGGGAGUACCAGGAUUGAACACAGGGGCACUAGGCCACUGAGCUACAUCCCCAGCCCUGUUCUAUAUUUUAUUUAGAGACUGGAUCUCACUAGGUUGCUUAGUGAUUCCUUGUUUCUGAGGCUGGCUUUGAACUCUCGAUCCUCCUGCCUCAGUCUCCUGAGCCACUGGGAUUACAGGCAAGUGCCACCACUCCCAACAGAAUGUAACACUCUUGAGGCUCCUAUUGAAAUGAGUCAGUGCCAUAUACUAUUGAGCAUGGGUCUAUCUUGUUCAUGUAUAGUUGUGCUGAGAGACACGGCCGAGUCUGUGUGGCCGCCAGGGGCCAUACAGACUCGGCCGUGGCUCUCAGCAUAGUUGGUUCUUCCUGAAGUGCCAUUAUCCAUGCCAUCACAAUCUUUGUUGGCUUUAUAUCAAUAUUGAUUAGGGAAGAAGGCUAGAAAAACAAGAAAAUCAUGUAUGAAAAACCAAAAGAAACAAGUAAACCAAGGCAUUUGUAGAGCGGGGAAAAGAACCAAUUUCAUUAAGAUUGGGGGGUACCCAGAAAAAGCUAGGUACUUUAAUGGAACACAUAAUUACUAAAUGUGAGGAUUCAUAUAGAAGAUUCUAGGCAGUUUGAAGCAAUAUUUAGAGAAGAGGUUCUCAAACUUUUCCCUUUACACUCUUAAAAACUGAGAAUUCCAAAGAACUUUUAUGUGCAUUAUAAUUAUAUUUAUUAUAUUAGAAAUUAACAUAUAGAAAAUUUGAAGUUUUUAAAUUAAAAACAAUAAUAAAGCAAUCAAUGGCAACAAGGAAAAAUCUUCUGUAUGAAAUACAACAACAAAAUGAGUGGCAUUGUUGUUUCACAUUUCUGUAAAGCUCUUUCAUAUAUGGUUUUACAACAGAUGACUGGAUUCUCCUGUCUGCUUCUAUUUCAAUGUUUCCUUGUCACAUGUCGGGGAGCCUCUGGAAAACCCUGCCAUAGGCUUGAGAGAGUGUGAGUGUAAACCGUAAACAAUGUCCUAUGAAUACUGUUUACCAAUGUCCUAGUAUUAUUAUAGAAAUAGUUCUGACGGUCCUCUUUGAAGGACCUGGGGACACUCAGGCUACACUUUGAGAACCACUGAAAGUUACUAUUAGACAAUCCAAUGUCAACUGAAAAUUAGCCAAGAGGUUUCGUAAGUUAGGAUUUACAUAGGGUUUACUUUUUUUAGAAAGAUGACACAGCGGACAUACUGAAUGGUCUCAUUAUAAAGUAAGCUGAGAACACAGAAAACAUGCUAAUUUCAUCCAUCAAAUGAAAAGCAGAAAUAAGGGACUGCUCAUUAGGUAAGAGAGUUAGAUGAAGGGCACCCCUAGAAGGCGUGGACACACUCUAAGGACAAGUAAAACCGGCAGAAGAUGCCGCUAAAGUAGUCAGGAGGAAAGAACGGUAGUUCUUAGGUGAGGAAGGAAAAUGGUUUCCAGAGGCCUGGGAGUUGAAGGAAUUAGGCCAGGACAGGCAUGGGAACCAAGAAGAGAUCAACGUCAAGGGCAGCGCGAGCGCAGCGCUGGGCUGCUGCCCACCAUCCUCAUUGCCUACCCCCCUUCGCCCCCCAAGGUGGGCCAGGGGUGAGACGGGAGGGUCAGGGCCGUGCCCGACUACGAAUGGGGUUACGGUUUCUUUUUCAGUGAAGCCAGGAGAGAAAAGAGAUGGCGGGGUGCUCAAUAGAGGGAGGAGGAUAGACCGUGGCGGGAACCCGAGGAGCCCAAGCUGGACGCUGAGGAAGAGCCCACCCCGCUGGUUGGAGACCUCCGCAGAAGAAGGACGGUUCUGUUACUAGGCAACCAGGCCCGGGCCCGCCUCCCGCCCGUGUUGCCAGGAGACGACGAGGCCUGGGGGAGGGCGGCGGAGCGGGCCCUACGUGCUGACGCUAAUUGUAUAUGAGCGCGAGCGGCGGGCUCUCGGGUCUUUUUUAGCGCCAUCUGCUCUCGGCGCCGCCUCCUGCUCCUCCCGUCUCCGCUGCCUCCCUGAGUCACUGCCUGCGCAGCUCCGACCGCCUGGCUCCCCGUACUAGCUGCCGGUAAUGGAUGGGGGCCUGAAAGGGAACGUGGAGUUGGUCGGGCGGCCUUCACGGAGGGGAGGGACGGUGAAGCGAGAGCAGUGGCUGCUGGCUGCCCUGGGCCUCCGGGUCGUCCGGUGAGGCCGGAGUGGUCUGCGGAGUCUGGACACGGCAGCCUGAGAGGGGCCCAGGGCCGACCGGUGCUUUUUUCAGGGGCCGCUGAGGAGACGCGGGGGGUCGGCGCGCCCUACCGUGCUUAAGGUUUCUCGGGGCCCCACCGGCUUCUGCGCGCGGACUGGAGCGAGGCCGCGGCGACGCCCGGGUAUUUUAGAGGAGUCGGCUGCCGCGCGGCAAGGAGCGGGAGGCGCUGGGAAUGCGGGCCGGGCCAGUGUGGAGCCCGCCACCUCGAAGCCUCUGUCUUUUCCCCCCCAAAGUAAUAACCCGAGGGAGGCAGCUGGGGGAUGGAAAGAACCGGGAAGGCUGCGAAUUCCGACGGGAGGGAGGGAGGGGCCGCUGAGGGACCAGGCCCGAGGCAGGGGGGCGGGGAGGCUGCGGGGCUCUCCGCCCACUGGGGGCGGUGGCCGUGCGGGGGGGGGGGGGGGGCCCCCCCCCCCCCCCCCCCCCGGCUGCUUCCUUCGACACGUGGUGAGGGGGCUGCGUGGCCGCCUCCUGGCCAAGAUUGGAGACCCUUGCAUCGGGUGGGAGUGUGUGUGGGGGUGCUAUUCUUACUUUCAGUGAAAGUUGUAGAGUUGGUAGGGUAUGAAAAGGAAUGAUGAGCUCAUAAGUCCCUGUCCCCUGGGUUUCCAACUCUUAACUGCUUCUCUUUGGUCUUAAAUCUUUAUUGGUACCAGAGGAAAUUUCGAAUGUUAGCUGAUACACUGCCAGGAUUUUAAAGAAUUAAUGCGUGUAAAGCGCUUAUUUUAGCUGUUAUUAACAAAAGAUAGUAUUGUGUGUCCCAGAUACAGUUAGAACUUAAGAUGGGGAGGUGGGUGUCUGCACCCACCUUUGUUUUUGAGGAGUGGGGAAGGGGAAGGAUUGAUCCUCAUCUAUCUAAACCUUCAAACGUUUCUAAGAAGGUAAAGGGUUUGGCUUGUUAUAGUUUAGAUUCUCACAGGCUUUCCGACAUUAUUUCCUUUAAUGAGGUUCCCAGAAUAGGAUACUUCACUAGCUAUUUUUAAGGUGAAUGGGGUGGCGGGUUAAUAUAAACUGACCAACCCAAGUGAGUACCUGCUACCUUGUCUAUGUGCCCCAUUUCAGUAAAAAUCUCUUGGCAAUUAAAGGAGGCGGCCACUGAGGUCCUGUGGGGGAGGGCUAGUACAAAGGAUCACUCAAGCAGGCACAGGCUGUCCUCAAGGAGUCCCCGGUUUAAACUAUUACUGGUCUGAUGAGUUCCAGGAACACUAUACUUUGAAAAUCUCAGAAUUUAAACCGGUUGCAAAUUUUCAGGAGAGGUGUAAAAGAAAAUUUGCUAUUUUUGAAAAUACCAUCAAAACAUCUUUUGAAAGUAGUGUCUGUGUCCUCUUUUUUUUUUUUUUUUUUUGCAUGCUGGGGAUUGAACCCAGGGUUUUGUGCAUGCUAGGCAAGAGUUCCACCCCUGAGCUACACCCCCAGCCCAUGUCCUGUUUUCUUGUCAGCUUAGAUUAAUGCUCCUUAUCUUAGAAGUAAUAGUUCUACCUUUAGAUAAGAGAAAAAUCAUACACAUAUAUGUAAUUUAUUUAAAACUGGAGGAAAAUGAGGUUUUCAGUGGUCUUUAGGGAUUUUAGUGUCUCAAGCUUGUUUGAAGUUGCUAAAGUGGAAAUACAUGUUCUAAAUCUAAACCGUGCAGUUGUACUUUUAAGACUGGAGCUAACAUAAGCAGGUGUACUUAGAAGACUUAAUCUUUUGUGAUUUUAAAAUGUUCUUUUCAAGCCAGUUGUUGGUUAAAGUAAUGAAAUGAGAAACUUCACCAUACUUGGGUGCAAAUCUUUGUAAAUUUUAUCUAUUGUGAAAUAUCUGCUUUUUAUAUUACACCCAUUAAUUGAACGAAUUACUAAGUUAAUACUAAAUGAGGCACAUGACUGUCCUUACACAAGGUUUUUUUUUUUUUUUUGUUUUGGUACACUCCUAGCAGAAGUAAUGUGAUCUAAAUGCCAUAGCUUAUUUUAUUAUUCAAUUUGCCCAUAUUGGCCCCAGGUGAUUAAUUUGAUUAUAAAUUCUUAAAAUAUUUCAAAACAAGUGGUCUUUCUAUAGAAGGGGCUAAAAGAAGCAGAAUGCUUGAUUUAUAAAGGUCUGAGGAUGUCAAAACAAAAUUUUGUUACUUUAUUUAGUAUUUUGCUUGGUUGUAAAUUCUCAAUAUAAUUAAAAGAUUAAAGAAUGAGCCCCUCAUUUUCUCCAGUAUAGAAAUAAUAAUGAUCAAUCUAUUUGGAGUCUUAAGGUUUAAUCAAACCUGAAAUCAUUUGUAGUCUUGGCUAAUACUUUGAGUAAAUAUUUAAGUUCCAUUUAAACUCAUUUCAUCUGAAUAAGUAGUUUUUGUUGGGUAGAGUGGUGGUUAGAAGGUGGGAAUAGUUGCUUUACACCUCUCUUUGUUAAGUUUUUCAUUGCAUCAACAGCAUUAGAGCACAUUACUGGUGUCAUGGAAAGUGGCUUCUGUACCUUCCUUGAGUUACCAAUUCUGCCAUUUAUUGCUGCCUAUUUGAAUACUUCGCUUGCUGCGAAGUUUGUGCCUGUUGAUAGCCACCCUCUCCCCCAAUGUGGCCUGUGAUAAUCAUUUUUUAAAAUAAAGUAAGAAUACAAAAGUACAAUGGAAAAAUAAUAAAAGAGCAGUUACAGGGUGAUUAUUCAAGCCUUGUUUUAAAAUUCUUUUAACAAGGAAACAGUAUGUUAUGGUUAAAGAAACUAUCCAGGGUUACAUAACUGAGCAAUGAGGACUUAAAAUGAGGUGAUUUUUGUAGUGGUUUUUGAAGGAUGUCCCUUAAACUGUUUUGCUAUAUUUUGGAUUCUACAGUGCUCUAGGGAAAAGCUACAACAUUGUAUAGUUAUGAGGUGUUCUUCCAUGUAGUUGGGCCAUAUGUACGCCACUUAUGUAUGCUGCACGUACAUGUAACUUUGGAAGUACCAUGAGGAUAAAUUUUGUAAGUAGGAUGAGUUUUGACCAAGUGUCCUGGGUCCUAGGAUAAGUUUCCCUGUUAUUGGAUUAGAUGAUACUCUAUAGAUAUUUUUGGACAGAAAAUAACAGUGUUCUCAAAUAGGAAUUCAUUUUGCUUGGGAGUCUAAUACAAAGUUCUCAGUUGACUAUUGAUAGCACUGAAAUGAAAAAACUGAGUGUAAAAAAAAUAAGCUGUUUAAGCUGAGGGGUUGUGUUGUAGCCAAAUGCAGUGCUAUCUAAAAAUUUUUGCUUAAAGUUCAUUUGGAAUGAGGUCUGAGGUAAAGGGAAAACUAUAUCCUGGGGUAUUAUUGUUUCCUUCUUUGGCUUUAAACCAUUUUUGUUUUUUAGUGAUUGGCUGUUUCAUCAUGAAGUAGUCAUUUUUUGUAAACGAAUAAUGCUUUAGUUUAGUGAAUAAUCUAUGUAACAGGCUGAUUGGAAAGUACCCUGGUUUUUAGAAUAGUGGAAUGGGCUUUUGUUUUUAAAGUCAGGUUUUAAAACCUAACUACUUCAGGAUUGUGUUGCUAAGCAAGGCGCUUAAUAUUUUAUUUCCAAAGUAGGAGGAAAGCCUAUAAUUCCUUACAGAGUGGCCAAAUGUUUUGAUAAAUGUUGGCUUUCUUCGUAUUCAUUGAUAGUAUGGGCAAUUUACUCAGAAUAAGGAUUACCAGAAUGAUAAGAAGUUGAUAGUAGGUGUCUGGACAUCUGGUUAUUAAAAGACCACAAAAUGAUCAGGUUUUGUGGCCUGAUUUAGUCAAUGGCCUGUUUUCUAAUGAAAGAUUUUCUUCAUAUUAGAAUUUUCAAGAUUAAGAUUUACUUUCAGGAAUACUGUUUGGAAUCACCAUGCCUUUCCAUUAAGAUCUUCUGUACAUUAUAUAUUGGAUUAUAAAUUGAACCAUUUUGGAAAAAGUGGCCUUUUUAUAUUUAGUAAUACUCUUGAAGUUUGUUUUUUUCUGAUGUUAAUAUAUUAGGUUCAUACUGGGUUUUGAAACUAGAUGAUGAAUUUCUUAUCCAUAGAAUGACACUGAAUUUUCUUGAAGGCAGUCUUGGGAAAUUUUUUUUCUUUUGUGUACUAGGGAUUGAACCCAGUGGUGCUCUACUACCAAGCUACAUCCCCAGCCUCCUUUUUAAAAAAAAAUUGUGAGAGGGUCUUGCUAAGUCACCAAGAAUGGAGUCGAUCUGGGUGAUUCUCCUACCUCAGUGUCCUAAGUCACUGGGAUCAAGGUGUGACCCCAUGCAUGGCCUGACUUAGAAUCUUUGAUAGGAACAUUUACUUUUACAUUUAAUGUAAUUCCUCUGAAGUUUACAGGAGUAUUUUACUUUUAUUUAUUUUUUGGUACUGAAAAUUGAACCCAGGGACAUUUUACCACUAACCUCUACCCCAGCCCUUUUUAUUUUUUUUAUUUUGAGACAGGGUCUUCCUACCUUGAUGAGGCUGGCCUAGAAUUUGGAAUCCUCCUGCCUCAGCCUGUGGAGUUGCUGGGAUUACUGAUGUGCAGUACUGUGCCCAACUUUUCAGGUUUAUUUUAAAAGUGUGUGUUUUCAUUACUUUAUUUUGGAAGUUAUAUAUGCUGUUUUCUAAUCUUUUGGUAGUCAUUCUGGAAAUUACUAUUUGCAUACUUAACAAACAUUGGCGUGCUUAUUCACAUCACUGACUUCAAAUAGUGUGAUAUUUUUAAUGUUUUAACACUCACAAUGGUAAUUUUAUUUCUUUCAAAAUCCUUAUUUAGCUGGACGUGGUGGUGUGUGCCUAUAGUCAUAGUGCUAGGGAGGCUGAGGCAGGAGGAUUGCUUGAGCCCAAGAGUUUUGAGCCUGGGAACCUAAUGGGUCCUCAUCUCUAAAACAGACACAAUCUUCAUGUAGAUAUACACAGAUAAUCUUUUUUCCUUAAUGUAUUUUCAAGUUUCCAUCUGGAAUCACUUGCCUUCUAUAUGAAGAUUAUACUACAGAAUAUUUCAGUGAUAGUGCUUGGAGGGAGGUAUUGUUAAGUGAAAUAUUUGCUUUGUUUUCAUUCUUAUAGAUUACAUUGUUUGCAUAUAGUAUUCUAAGAUCAUCAGUUAUUUUCAGAAAGUUAUGAAUUCUAUUAUCUUUUGGUAUCUGAUUUUGAAGAGAAGCCAGCUGUCAGCUAUGCCUUUGAAAUUAAUCUUUUGUGUACUUUCUUAGGUGACUUCUUUGUCUUUGGGAUCUUGCUUUUUUACUUAUUUAUCUAAGUAUGGUUUUCUUUUUUAUUUGUCUUGAGUAGAAUUGAUAAAACUCCCUGAAUCUGUGAGUUGGUGUCUGUUUCAUCAGUUCUGGAAAGUGCUUAGCUAUUAAUUUGUUCAUGUAUUGUUUCCUAUCCUAUCUUUUCCUCCUAGAACUUGAAGUUUUUUUUUUUUUUCUUCCCUAUGAGAGAUUGAACUCAAGGUACUUAAUUAACCACUGAGCCACAUCCUCAGCCCUUUUUAUUAUUUGGGACAGGAUCUCACCAAGUUGCUUAGGGCCUUGCUAAGUUGCUGAUAAACUUGGUGAUCUUCCUGCCUCGGCCUUUCAAGCCUCUGUUAUUACAGGCAUGAAAUCUUUUUUAGAUUUUGUUGUAUCCUAAAAUGUCUUCUCAUUUCAGUACUUCCAUUCUUUAAUCUCUUGCUCUGUUUUAGAAUAGUUCUUCUUUGCUUUCUUUAGCUCGCUUAAUUCUCAAUUUUGUUUAAUCUACUAAAGGCGACCCUUUUAAUUUGAUAUAUUAAGUUCUUUUCCAAAUCUGCUGUUAACUUAAUACAUGUCUAUUUCUUGCAGAUACUGUUUUUUCUUCCUUUCCAAUGAACCCAUAGUCUUGCACAUGCCAGGCAAGCACUUGAUUCCGGAACUAUACCUACAGUUCCCGAUACUAUAUUUUUAGACUUAGUAAGACUGGUUGUUUUUUGGCCUUUGUCUACAGUUUGUUUAUAGUCUAAUUGACAAUAAUACUUAAGUCUUUGUAGGGCUGGUUUCUGUUGUAUUCCUUUAGGUUGUUCUGGUUGCCUUUGGAAAUUACUUGUAUGAAUAAUUAGAGAUCUAGAAUGCAGGUGCUUUUCACUUACAUUUGAUAAGCAAGUGCCUGUGAGUAUACUGCCAGGAUAUUUGACGCUAUCUUGGAGUUUGGAGCAGCAACACAGAUGAAAUGAAUUUGGGCCAUUUGUUUAAGAGAGCUGGCUUAUAAUCUCUGAAGACAUAGCACUUUGGGGUUCCUGCUUAUUUUCAGAAAGUUAUUAUGAAGAUUCCUCAUAGGAUAGGCUCAAAAUUUUGAUUUCAAAUUAAAAUCAGAGUUCACAUUUGCUGAUAAUGGCAGUUGACCUCAGGGCAAAAGUAUUUUCCUAUUUUGCCUUCAUUUUUUGACCAGUAGUAAUUCUGUAUUAUAUUAUUAAUGUUUCAGUGCUAUUUAGAUUUUAAUAAAUUUGUUCUUUGCUUUUAAUUAUUUUUUAUUGGCAGUAUUAAUCUGCAUAAAAUAGCUUGUCAUUAUCAGGAAUGAAAAGUUUUUCACAGAUUUUGGAGUGCAGUUUUAUGUCCAACAUUGUUUGAUAUAAUGUCAACCAGAUUAAAAAAAGCAACGUAGGUAUUAAUAUAAACCUGUAUUUUUCAGUGUAAUCUGAUUAUCUGAGAGCCACCUGCCUCAGAAGCUGCAAGGGGUAGGGGUUAAAAAUGAAGAUUUUGGCGGGGGGGGGGGCAUUCCAUUGGACCUAAUGGUUUUUUUCUUCUUUUAACUUUUAAUUUUAGGUUUACAAGAAAUUUGUAAACAUAGGUCAGAGAGUUUCUGUAUGCCCCUUUCCCAUUUUUUCCUAAUAUUAGUAUCUUAAAGUUACCAUGGUAUAUUUGUCAAGACUAAAAUAAUCUAUUUUUUAACUAUCAUCCCAGCUUAUUAUUUUGGAGAACUAUUCAGUGGUAUAAUUAAAAAUGGAUUGGAUGAAAAUAGCAUGUGUUCUUUAGAGUACUUACCAGGUAUCAAACUCUGGUUAAAGUUUUAACAUGGAUUUGUUCCUUGAAUUUUUUUUUUUUUUUAAUAGGAUGAAAACAUUUUUUAAAUGCUGAUAAAAAUAUAAAGCUGUACAUAUGAGUGGAGUAUACUCCUUGAAAUAAAUUCAAUCCAAUGAGGGAAUUUUUUCUUAACUUUUUAUGUAUGAUGAAAUGAAGCCAGAAGUUGUUUCCCUGUUGAUUGCUUCAAAGGUAGUGUAAACCUUAAUGAUUUAACUGAAAUUAGGCCCAGUUUUAUGAAUGUACACAAGCAAAAAAUCUAAUUUUCCUGAAUGGGCAGUUUGGAUCUUCAUUAAAAAGUUUUAUUUCAAAAGUUCAGAAUCUAGAGAUAGUGCUGAAAACUGGACAUUGAUGGUAGUUCUGUGAACAUGUUAAAAUGGCCUAAAAAUUUAAAUCGGAAAUUCUGAGUUUUUUCCCCAUAUAUCUUUCCAUAUUCCAAUUGCUAGGUUUAUUAGACAAUAUGUUAAUGUUUACAACCCAGGAAAUUGAAAAAUAUUACUGAUUUAGGUAAACUUCUUUAUACUGGAAAACCAAGUAAUGCAAAUUUAUAGUCAAAUUAUACUUUAUUGUCAUAUAUAACUAAAAAGAAAAAAAUUUUUAAAAAUUCUCAUUUCUCAUGUUUUAUAGUAACUACUUUCAGGUUUCUGAUAUAGAAAAAGGUUUUAUUUAAGGGGCUGGUGGUGUGGUUCAAUCAUAGUUAUGUGUUUAGCAUGUGUUCUGGAUUCAGUUCCUCAGCACCAAUAAAAUGUAUGUAAAGGUUUUGUUUAUAUUAUAAAAGUAUGUACGUGUAUGAGCAUACUUAUAUUUUAUUCAUGUCCUAAUGGGAUUUUGCCAUAUAUUUUAUACCUUACAUUUCUAUAUCAGCUCUUGAGAAUUGCUUCCAUUUUCACUAUAAAGCAUUUCCUUAUAUGUGCAUUCCAUGCUAAUAAAUUUAUAACAUAUAAGUUGUGUAUAUUACUCUGAAGAAUAGUGAUUGGUAAAAGCAUAUAAAUUUCUGUAAUGAGUCUCAUCUGAAAAGUUGGGAGAGACCUUAGCUUACACUAAUGUGUAAUUAUAUACUUGAGACAUCUUGGGAUGGAAAGAAAUAGAACUAUAUAGGAGUUUGUACAACAAAGAAUUAUUUAACCAGUUGUUCAAGAUGUAUAGGAUUUGUUCACUGGGGCUUUGGAGGGAUCUUGAAGGUGAAUAUGAAAAACAAGGCCUUACAUGCUCAGUAGUACCUUUUUUUUAAAGAGAGAGAGAAUUUUAAUAUUUUUUUUAGUUUUCGGUGGACACAGCAUCUUUCUUUGUAUGUGGUGCUGAGGAUCGAACCCGGGCCGCACGCAUGCCAGGCGAGCGUGCUACCACUUGAGCCACAUCCCCAGCCCGCUCAGUAGUUCUUUAUGGAACAUUCUUAUAAGUAAAUAAGGCUGGAGAUGGAUAUAUUUAAACUUUGCCUUUGAAAUUCCUUUAACCAGGAAUAACUGUCCAGAAAAGUACUAGUUUAUGAGAACAUAACUCAGAUUUAAGAAAGAAUAUUUAUUAAAUUUUUCCCUGUGUUGAAAGAAAAUUCUCAAUGAUUUGAUAGACACUUAGAAUCCCAAAUACAUUUCUUUGAAGAUUCAAUAUUUUUCUUAAUUUUUGAAUUCGAUUUCAUCAGUAGUUUGCUAAACAUUUUGUAGAUAUAUGCUAAUUGCCCAGUAUCACUGGAGAAAUUUGUCAGUACUACUAGGAAAUAUUUAAGGAAACAUUUUUAAACAAAAGGAAGGUAUAUUAAAGAUAUAUUAGAAAGAAAUAUUUUCUUUAUAAUUAAAGGAUAGAUACUAGAUCAGUAAUACUCCUCAAAUAUUACCACUUGACUUAAAAUCAGAACCUUAAAUACUCUUAAGUAAUAUUUAAGCAUGCUGUUAUGAGAGUAGUUCAUCUUAUAAGAUUUUGUGGAAUUAAUCCUAAGGCUGAAAGAUGAAAACUUGAUUUCUAAUGCGGAAUUCUGUCUAAACUUGGUUUAGGUUUUUUUUAGUGAUCUGGAUGACUUAACAUUCAGCCAUUUUUCACUUAAGUAUUUAACACAUUUACCUUAAGGUUUUCUUCCCUUUCUCAGAAGUAUUCUCUAAGCCUUAGGAAUUUAAGUCAUUUAAUCAAUCUUUCCAGUAAACUUACUUAGAUUUGGUAAUCAGAGUGUUAAUUAACAGUGUAUCAGCAUUACCAGGGGAGGUUGUUGCAGGGGAUGGUGGGAAUGGUUGUACAUCAGUCAUGUGAGAUGAGAUACAGAAGGUUUGUCUGACAUAAUAGGUUGGGACCUAGAUUUUUACAAUUAAUGUGUAAUCGUUUUAAAGGGCUGAUGUGUGAUGCAGAGAUUACUAAACCUUUAUUUUUUUAAUACCUCCAGGAGCAUAAGUACAAUAGGUAGCAAAUAUUUUUUUAACUUGAAUUUGAUAAAAAAAUAAUACUGUUAAAAGUGAAGUGGAUUUGUUCAAAGAUGCUGAAUAGCCUAAAAGUUCAGCAAAAAUUUAACAUAUAUGAUUAAAAGAAUUUGAACAAAAGACUUUGGUAACACUAUUCCUUUUACAGCAAAUAGGAAUUCUUUACUGAUGAUGUUAAUAUAAUAAUUUUUAUAUCAGAUUCUAAAAGCCUACUCUAACAUGUUUGUUUUAAGCAAUAUUCUCCUGAAAAAAUAUUUUAACACUGAUGUUUCUCUCCAUAGGUAUUUGAAGUUCCU
Molecule: long non-coding RNA, 37772 nt
Filed under: Marmota monax (woodchuck)
Lineage: Eukaryota; Metazoa; Chordata; Mammalia; Rodentia; Sciuridae
Source: RNAcentral